This 253-nucleotide ribosomal RNA is filed under the name uncultured bacterium. Its description in RNAcentral is "partial 16S ribosomal RNA". It matches the Rfam family "Bacterial small subunit ribosomal RNA", at positions 524 to 776 of the family's 1533-position model. The record is from RNAcentral.
UACAGAGGUCCCAAGCGUUGUUCGGAUUCACUAGGCGUAAAGGGUGCGUAGGUGGCUUGGUAAGUUUGAUGUGAAAUCUCCGGGCUUAACCCGGAAAUGGCAUUGAAUACUAUUGAGCUGGAGGUUUGGAGGGGGGACUGGAAUUCUCGGUGUAGCAGUGAAAUGCGUAGAUAUCGAGAGGAACACCAGUGGCGAAGGCGAGUCCCUGGACAACACCUGACACUGAGGCACGAAAGCUAGGGGAGCAAACAGG